This 848-nucleotide long non-coding RNA is filed under the name Parus major (Great Tit). Its description in RNAcentral is "lncRNA (ENSPMJG00000010841.1)". The record is from RNAcentral. Lineage: Eukaryota; Metazoa; Chordata; Aves; Passeriformes; Paridae.
UAGCUCUGUUUUAUGCUUGAAAUGGUGGAAAUGUGAUGCCAUUUUUGUUUAUUUCAGUAAUUAUUCAAGGAUCUUAAAGAGUUUGCUGGAAAAAAUCUUCUGAAGGAUUUGCUCUUCCUAGCAAAUAUGCCCAGCUUGUUUUGUCAUGCCUUUGGGUAGACAACUGAAUGAGAAUGUUGUUAGAAGAGGAAAACCUUCUCAACCAAUUCCUCACCACAACGUAUGGCUCAAGGAGACAGCUUGAUCUCAAGCUGAACAGGAGGGCCAUGUCUUUACGUGACCAGAGUAGUCAUGGGCUCCAAUUGAAAUUUCAACCACUAAACCCAGCAGCUGGAUCACAGUAAAGGAUUUCAAUCAAAGACAUCAAGAUUGAAUCAUGCUGAUCACCUCGAACUUUUCAGUGAAAGCAUCCAGAUAAAGAGCAUUAAAAACUCUUAAAUGCUAUUACACUACAGAGUGUAACACUACAAGAUAUUUAAAGGUAAGCACAGCCCCAAUUUUGUUCUUUCUUUUAAGUUAUGUGUCCAAAAAUUUCUUGCUCCUCUUGAUGUCCCUUGCUAAGGGACACCUUGGUUUUGCACCUUGAUUUUGUCCUUUGGUUAUUUGAUUUCAGCCAGCAUGCCUGAUCUAUAAUUUUGUAAGUACACAUCAUCUUCAACAACCUGAUUUAAUUUAAAUUUCCAGUACUGUUCUUUCCUGCACUAUAGAAUUAAAAAUUACUGAUUAAACCUAUGUGAUUUUUCACUACUCUGUCUUUCCUCCCCCCAGAAUAGUAUUGUUUAGACUUUAAUUCUAAAUACUGCAUCGCUAAGGAGCUGCCAGAUUUCCUCAGGGUUUUUUUAGAUCAG